This 28-nucleotide non-coding RNA is filed under the name Mus musculus (house mouse). The record is from RNAcentral. Lineage: Eukaryota; Metazoa; Chordata; Mammalia; Rodentia; Muridae.
CAUGUUGGUAUUAACUCUCGUGGAUUGC